Chlorocebus sabaeus (green monkey) is the source of this 193-nucleotide non-coding RNA. NCBI's taxonomy places the organism in Eukaryota, Metazoa, Chordata, Mammalia, Primates, Cercopithecidae. The record is from RefSeq and is a predicted model, not a curated record.
GCAAAUAACGACUUCUCUCUCUGUAGGAGGAAUUCAUUAGUGUUAGACUCAAAGUCCUGCUGUGGCCCUGAGGCACUUGCUUUUACUGCCAACCUGAAGAGCUACAGUAUUCUGUUUGCAUGAAUUUGAGAGUUGAAGGCAUGCCUACUUAACGUUAUUGGAAUAAAAACAGGCAUUAACAGGAUAUCUCUGA